This 460-nucleotide ribosomal RNA is filed under the name uncultured bacterium. Its description in RNAcentral is "partial 16S ribosomal RNA". It matches the Rfam family "Bacterial small subunit ribosomal RNA", at positions 338 to 795 of the family's 1533-position model. The record is from RNAcentral.
CCUACGGUGCGCAGCAGUGAGGAAUAUUGGUCAAUGGGCGGGAGCCUGAACCAGCCAAGUCGCGUGAGGGAAGACGGUCCUAUGGAUUGUAAACCUCUUUAGGCGGGGAGCAAUGCCGGGCACGCGUGCCCGGAGGGAGAGUACCCGCAGAAUAAGCAUCGGCUAACUCCGUGCCAGCAGCCGCGGUAAUACGGAGGAUGCGAGCGUUAUCCGGAUUUAUUGGGUUUAAGGGGUGAGUGGGCGGAUUUUUAAGUCAGCGGUAAAAUGUCCGGGCUCAACCCGGGCCGGACAUUGAAACUGGGGAUCUUGAGUGGGCGAGAAGUAUGCGGAAUGCGUGGUGUAGCGGUGAAAUGCAUAGAGAUCACGAAGAACUCCGAUUGCGAAGGCAGCUUACUAAACUGCCACUGACAUUGAUGCUCGAAAGUGUGGGUAUCAAACAGGAUUAGAUACCCGUGUAGUC